ACGAACGCUGGCGGCGCGCCUAACACAUGCAAGUCGAACGAGAAAGAGGGAGCUUGCUCCCUUGAUCGAGUGGCAAACGGGUGAGUAACACGUAACAACCUGCCUUCAGGAUGGGGACAACAGACGGAAACGACUGCUAAUACCGAAUAAGUUCCAAGAGCCGCAUGGCCCAUGGAAGAAAAGGUGGCCUCUACCUGUAGGCUAUCGCCUGAAGAGGGGUUUGCGUCUGAUUAGCUGGUUGGAGGGGUAACGGCCCACCAAGGCGACGAUCAGUAGCCGGUCUGAGAGGAUGAACGGCCACACUGGAACUGAGACACGGUCCAGACUCCUACGGGAGGCAGCAGUGGGGAAUCUUCCGCAAUGGGCGAAAGCCUGACGGAGCAACGCCGCGUGAGUGAUGACGGCCUUCGGGUUGUAAAACUCUGUGAUCCGGGACGAAAAGGCAGAGUGCGAAGAACAAACUGCAUUGACGGUACCGGAAAAGCAAGCCACGGCUAACUACGUG
RNAcentral lists this ribosomal RNA (505 nucleotides) under uncultured bacterium. Its description in RNAcentral is "bacterial SSU rRNA". It matches the Rfam family "Bacterial small subunit ribosomal RNA", at positions 29 to 507 of the family's 1533-position model. The record is from RNAcentral.